GUCCACGCCCUAAACGAUGUCAACUGGUUGUUGGGUCUUAAUUGACUUGGUAACGCAGCUAACGCGUGAAGUAGACCGCCUGGGGAGUACGGUCGCAAGAUUAAAACUCAAAGGAAUUGACGGGGACCCCGCACAAGCGGUGGAUGAUGUGGAUUAAUUCGAUGCAACGCGAAAACCUUACCUACCCUUGACAUGGAAGGAAUCCCCGAGAGAUCGGGGAGUGCCCGAAAGGGAACCUUUACACAGGUGCUGCAUGGCUGUCGU
Molecule: ribosomal RNA, 264 nt
Filed under: uncultured bacterium
Lineage: Bacteria
Description: partial 16S ribosomal RNA
Rfam family: Bacterial small subunit ribosomal RNA
Source: RNAcentral